Molecule: ribosomal RNA, 424 nt
Filed under: uncultured prokaryote
Description: bacterial SSU rRNA
Rfam family: Bacterial small subunit ribosomal RNA
Source: RNAcentral
UGAGGAAUAUUGCGCAAUGGAGGAAACUCUGACGCAGCCAUGCCGCGUGAGUGAAGAAGGCCCUAGGGUUGUAAAGCUCUUUCAGAUGCGAAGAUAAUGACGGUAACAUCAGAAGAAGCCCCGGCUAAAUUCGUGCCAGCAGCCGCGGUAAUACGAAUGGGGCAAGCGUUGUUCGGAAUCACUGGGCUUAAAGCGUAUGUAGGCGGAACUGAAAGUCAGGAGUGAAAUCCCAGGGCUCAACCCUGGAACUGCUCUUGAAACUUCAGUUCUGGAAUCCUGGAGAGGUUGGGAGAAUUCCUAGUGUAGAGGUGAAAUUCGCAGAUAUUAGGAGGAAUACCAGUGGCGUAGGCGCCCAACUGGACAGGUAUUGACGCUCAGAUACGAAAGCGUGGGGAGCAAACAGGAUUAGAUACCCCUGUAGUCC